Brassica napus (rape) is the source of this 2566-nucleotide long non-coding RNA. RefSeq lists it as uncharacterized. The transcript is spliced from 2 exons. The record is from RefSeq and is a predicted model, not a curated record. NCBI's taxonomy places the organism in Eukaryota, Viridiplantae, Streptophyta, Magnoliopsida, Brassicales, Brassicaceae.
ACUUCAAGGUUUAAAGUGCUAGUAAGUGACACUUUCAAGGUUUUUUUAUGCGAUUUUCCCUUUUCUCAAUCUUUGUAAUAUCCAAAAGGAUCUUAAUGAUUGAACAGAUUCUACCGAAAGUUUUUUGCAAACUCAUUUAAAAAUAUAUCUUUGAAACUGAAACCUACGACCAAAGAGCUGAACAACAAAAAACCUACGGCCAAAGAAAUAGUUACUAUACUAUCUUUGGCACAUUAUACCACACAAUUUUAGUCCAUAGCAAGUGUUUGUUUUUUAUAUCCCAUGUGGAGAUUCUGGAGAAACCUGAAUGGUAGGAACUAGAUGUGACCCAAGAGUAAUAUCUGGUCCGUGGAGAGGAUAUGGUAUACGCUCCAGAAGAAUCGCAUGAAGGAUUUGAAGAGGCUGGAUUCCAAAAAACCAUCAAAAAAACAAUCACAUUAUCAGUAAAUGCAAGAGGUGAGUUGCAUCUAUUUCAUUACUGUCACAACACCAUGAAUCUUGAGUUUUCAAAUCAGACACCAAGAUCCAUGAAAUUCAAUAUAUAUCUCGAGUUUUCAAAACCUCCUUGAAACAAACAAAAUAAUUCCAAUACUAAAUCCAUGUUUAAUAUAUCAAAAAGACAUAUAUUUGGGAUUCAGUAUUGUUUGAGUCACAACUUACUCGGAUUACAGAUCAUGGUGAGAACAUUGAAAUAAGGAGGAUGAAGAAAAUUAGAAGAAAUUUACUUUUCACAAUGUGCACAGAUUUGGUGAAAAGCUUGUUACAUCUAUACUAUUAAAACAAGAUCAUUCUUCUUUUUCCUUUUAAUGAAAUGUCAAUUUUUUUUCUUCAAAAAUACUUUUGAAUUUACAAAUGAAUUUUAAGUUUCAUCAAUGACAUUUUAAUAUUUUUUGGGCCUAUAACUACAAAGGCUGUCCAGAGAAAUUAUAAGUUAUACAAAUUUUAAAACCCAUUAGUAUCAUUUGAGAAAAAUAUUUUAUUAUACACAAAUGAAAUUUAAUCUUAAAUAUAACCCAUAAAUCAAAUUUUUAGUUGUCAUACUUUAUUAUAAGGAUUCUUAUAUUUUCUUUAUGCUAUAACAUAGUUAAGAUCAAUAAAUACAAAUAAAAAUUAAAAUAACUAUCAUAAAUUAUAAUUUAUUUUAAAUUAUCAUUUGGCGUUAUAAGUUAUACCAUACAAGUAGAACUUAGUAAUUAAAAAUAAGUUUAAAAUAAUUAUCAUUAGGCGUUAUAAAUUAUAGCACACCUAUAGUACUUAGUAAUUGUUAAUAGGUCUAUGAAUUUUGUUAUUGUAAUUACAUCAAUAUAUUAUUUUCUUAGUAAUUGUUAUAAUAGGUUUUUGAAUUUUUACUCUAUAUAAAUUAACAAACAUAAUGACAUCUAAAUAUCAUUUUCUUAAAUCUACGUAUCAACUCUCACGAUAGGCAAAAUGUUAAACAAAAAUUAUUAUUAUUCAAUGUAAUAUUAAAAAAAUAUAUGAGUAAUUUAAUGAAAAAGUUUUAAAAAUAUUAUCAGAUAUUUUGGAUCUAUAUCAGAUCAACAGUAUCAGAUAACGGGUUAAUAGCAUGUCUAAAUUAUUUUCUUGGGUUAAUAGCAAAUUUACUGGUUCGACCAUGAGUUUGAUGAAUCGGAUAUGAAAACACAGUUUAAAACUCAAAAAUUAUAAUAAAAUAGUUUUAUAUUAUUUUUUUAAUAAAAAGUUAUAAAUUUAUACAUAUUAUCAAAAUAGUCAAUAAAAAAAUAUCCAGAUUUUGAAAAAGCGGAUCAAAAAUAUAUUAUUGAUCUGCUUUUCAAAAUUUGGAUAUUUGUUUUAUUGACUAUUUUGAUAAUUUGUAGUUGUAGUAGCGUCGAAAUCGAAUAGGUAUAAAAUAGUGUAUAUUGAUAAUGUACAUCUUCACUAUAUUAAUAAUGUUCAUGGUUUUGAAAGUGAAAUUUAACCGAGUGAUCAAUACGACAUGUCGAUAUCAAGGCACAACAUACCAGUUAAAUUUAUUUAUGGGGAAUUGCCACUAAUACCACUUUUCUAAUAUCACUUUUCAACUUUACACUAACCAUUUUUACCUUCAUCUUUAAUGAAGGGUAAAAAACAUUUAUAACCUUAUUUAAUGAAACAUAAACAUAUUCUCCAACAAGAAUUUUCAAAAUUCCCAAAUUGAUCGACGACUCCAAUUAGAGUUUCGACGAGACGAUUCCGGCGAGAAAAUGAGAGAGAUCCUCCACAUCCACGGCGACCAAUGUGGAAACCAGAUCGGAGCCAAGUUCUGGGAAGUGAUCUGCGACGAGCACGGCGUUGACCACACCGGCCAAUACGUCGGCGACUCUCCCCUCCAGCUCGAACGUAUCGAUGUCUACUUCAACGAAUUCUCGAUGUUGUGAGGAAGGAAGCUGAGAACAGUGAUUGCCUACAAGGUUUCCAAUUUUGUCAUUCGUUGGGAGGAGGAACUGGAUCUGGGAUGGGAACGCUUUUGAUCUCUAAGAUUAGGGAGGAGUAUCCAGAAUGUGGUUUGUACGGUCAAAGAAUUAAAUAUUUAUAACUCUUUAUAAAAGUUGCAGAGUUGGCUUCUUUA